This 253-nucleotide ribosomal RNA is filed under the name uncultured bacterium. RNAcentral describes it as "partial 16S ribosomal RNA". It matches the Rfam family "Bacterial small subunit ribosomal RNA", at positions 524 to 776 of the family's 1533-position model. The record is from RNAcentral.
UACGUAGGGUGCAAGCGUUAAUCGGAAUUACUGGGCGUAAAGCGUGCGCAGGCGGUUGGCCAAGUCAGCUGUGAAAGCCCCGGGCUUAACCUGGGAAUGGCGGUUGAAACUAGUCGACUAGAAUCUGGCAGAGGGGGGUGGAAUUCCACGUGUAGCAGUGAAAUGCGUAGAUAUUCGGAAGAACACCAGUGGCGAAGGCGGCUCACUGGACCGGCAUUGACGCUGAGGUGCGAAAGCGUGGGGAGCAAACAGG